GUGCUUGCUUUGACAGCACAUUCACUAUAAUUGGAACAAUACAGAGAUCAGCAUGACCCCUAUGCAAGAACAACAUGCAAAUUCGUGAAUCAUUUUUUUUUUUU
Small nuclear RNA from Ictidomys tridecemlineatus (thirteen-lined ground squirrel), 104 nucleotides. Lineage: Eukaryota; Metazoa; Chordata; Mammalia; Rodentia; Sciuridae. The record is from Ensembl.